RNAcentral lists this unclassified non-coding RNA (229 nucleotides) under plant metagenome. Its description in RNAcentral is "partial contains small subunit ribosomal RNA, internal transcribed spacer 1, and 5.8S ribosomal RNA". The record is from RNAcentral.
UCUUCGUAGGUGAACCUGCGGAGGGAUCAUUACAGAGUUCAUGCCCUACCGGGUAGAUCUCCCACCCUAUGUUAUUAUUACUUUGUUGCUUUGGCGGGCCGUUAGGCUCCGGCCCGACUACCGGCCCCGGCUGGUAAGCGCCCGCCAGAGGACCCAAAACCCUGAGUAUUAGUGUCGUCUGAGUACUAUAUAAUAGUUAAAACUUUCAACAACGGAUCUCUUGGUUCUG